Long non-coding RNA from Hevea brasiliensis (rubber tree), 531 nucleotides. RefSeq lists it as uncharacterized. The transcript has 2 exons. NCBI's taxonomy places the organism in Eukaryota, Viridiplantae, Streptophyta, Magnoliopsida, Malpighiales, Euphorbiaceae. The record is from RefSeq and is a predicted model, not a curated record.
CUUCAGGAGUGAACCAGAUGAGCUAGGUCUCAACCCCAAACGCUGUUACUAUACCGGCGUUUAGAUCUACAUCCGCUCUCUACCCGUGUUCCUCAGGUCAAUUAGUUAUUCUCCAUCUUGACAAGGGAGGCAAAAUGGGUCUGGAUUAAACAGGGAAGAGCAGUAUAAAUCAGUGGCUCCCAAAAGCCGCUACCUAGUGUAAAAUGUUACUGGGUGCUGACGUUGACUGCUCAUCAAUUUUAGAGAUGUUUUACGAGAUAUGUUCCGGAUCCUGAUGAGUGAUGAUUGAAAUUGGAGAGGUGGAAAGAGUCUUGAUUUCAUAGCCUGAGAUACACCGCCUUCCAAAUAAAGAAAACAUUAUGGUGGUCGCAAUUGUUCAAGCUAUUUUAAUGAAUCAAAAUAAUUCCUAUAAAAAGAUUAUGCCUGUGAAGCUGAUUCCACGAGUUGAUAUGUAACUUUACAAAUAAAAAAAUUUGUGGUGAUCGCAAUUGUAUAAUUAUUUAAUGAAUCAAAGUAAUUCCUACGAGAAGA